CAGUCGAGCGGAGGAGUUGCUUCGGUAACUGACCUAGCGGCGGACGGGUGAGUAAUACUUAGGAAUCUGCCUAUUAAUGGGGGACAACAUCUCAAAAGGGAUGCUAAUACCGCAUACGCCCUACGGGGGAAAGCAGGGGAUCACUUGGGACCUUGCAUUAAUAGAUGAGCCUAAGUCGGAUUAGCUAGUUGGUGGGGUAAAGGCCUACCAAGGCGACGAUCUGUAGCGGGUCUGAGAGGAUGAUCCGCCACACUGGGACUGAGACACGGCCCAGACUCCUACGGGAGGCAGCAGUGGGGAAUAUUGGACAAUGGGGGGAACCCUGAUCCAGCCAUGCCGCGUGUGUGAAGAAGGCCUUAUGGUUGUAAAGCACUUUAAGCGAGGAGGAGGCUCUUUUGGUUAAUACCCAAGAUGAGUGGACGUUACUCGCAGAAUAAGCACCGGCUAACUCUGUGCCAGCAGCCGCGGUAAUACAGAGGGUGCGAGCGUUAAUCGGAUUUACUGGGCGUAAAGCGUGCGUAGGCGGCUUUUUAAGUCGGAUGUGAAAUCCCCGAGCUUAACUUGGGAAUUGCAUUCGAUACUGGGAAGCUAGAGUAUGGGAGAGGAUGGUAGAAUUCCAGGUGUAGCGGUGAAAUGCGUAGAGAUCUGGAGGAAUACCGAUGGCGAAGGCAGCCAUCUGGCCUAAUACUGACGCUGAGGUACGAAAGCAUGGGGAGCAAACAGGAUUAGAUACCCUGGUAGUCCAUGCCGUAAACGAUGUCUACUAGCCGUUGGGGUCUUUGAGACUUUAGUGGCGCAGCUAACGCGAUAAGUAGACCGCCUGGGGAGUACGGUCGCAAGACUAAAACUCAAAUGAAUUGACGGGGGCCCGCACAAGCGGUGGAGCAUGUGGUUUAAUUCGAUGCAACGCGAAGAACCUUACCUGGUCUUGACAUAGUAAGAACUUUCCAGAGAUGGAUUGGUGCCUUCGGGAACUUACAUACAGGUGCUGCAUGGCUGUCAACA
RNAcentral lists this ribosomal RNA (1005 nucleotides) under Acinetobacter bereziniae. RNAcentral describes it as "bacterial SSU rRNA". It matches the Rfam family "Bacterial small subunit ribosomal RNA", at positions 59 to 1057 of the family's 1533-position model. Lineage: Bacteria; Pseudomonadati; Pseudomonadota; Gammaproteobacteria; Moraxellales; Moraxellaceae. The record is from RNAcentral.